RNAcentral lists this unclassified non-coding RNA (241 nucleotides) under Glomus sp. RNAcentral describes it as "partial internal transcribed spacer 2". Lineage: Eukaryota; Fungi; Glomeromycota; Glomeromycetes; Glomerales; Glomeraceae. The record is from RNAcentral.
GUGAAUCAUCGAAUUUUUGAACGCAAAUUGCACUCUCCUCGAAGAGGAUGCCUGCUUGAGUUUCAGCCUAUAAAAAAUCGACAUCGUCGCUGUUUCGCUGGGGCGUGCGUCGGAAAUUGGGUCAUCUUAAAUCCUUUUGAUUUAAUCGACUUAAAAUUUUCUUUUGGUUCCACGAACGUUUCUAAGAUCUAUUGCGUUACACGUUUAGAGUAUCUAUUUUUACUAGACGUGACCAUCAUGU